Molecule: ribosomal RNA, 521 nt
Filed under: uncultured bacterium
Lineage: Bacteria
Description: bacterial SSU rRNA
Rfam family: Bacterial small subunit ribosomal RNA
Source: RNAcentral
UACGGAGGAUCCGAGCGUUAUCCGGAUUUAUUGGGUUUAAAGGGUGCGUAGGCUGGGGAUUAAGUCAGUGGUGAAAGUUUGCGGCUCAACCGUAAAAUUGCCGUUGAUACUGGUUCUCUUGAGUACAUUUGAGGCAGGCGGAAUGUGGUGUGUAGCGGUGAAAUGCAUAGAUAUGCCACAGAACACCGAUUGCGAAGGCAGCUUGCUAAGAUGUCACUGACGCUGAAGCACGAAAGCAUGGGGAUCAAACAGGAUUAGAUACCCUGGUAGUCCAUGCCGUAAACGAUGAUCACUAGCUGUUUGCGAUAUACAGUAAGUAGCAAAGGGAAACCAUUAAGUGAUCCACCUGGGGAGUACGCCCGCAAGGGUGAAACUCAAAGGAAUUGACGGGGGCCCGCACAAGCGGAGGAACAUGUGGUUUAAUUCGAUGAUACGCGAGGAACCUUACCCGGGUUUAAAUGGUGAGUGACAGGGGCAGAGAUGCCUUUUUCUUCGGACACUCAUCAAGGUGCUGCAUGGUU